UAGCUCAGUUGGUUAGAGCGUUGCAUUCACAUUGCAAAGGUCAGAGGUUCGACUCCUCU
This 59-nucleotide transfer RNA is filed under the name Candidatus Roizmanbacteria bacterium CG_4_10_14_0_2_um_filter_36_35. RNAcentral describes it as "tRNA-Val". It matches the Rfam family "tRNA", at positions 8 to 63 of the family's 71-position model. Rfam says of the family: Transfer RNA (tRNA) molecules are approximately 80 nucleotides in length. Their secondary structure includes four short double-helical elements and three loops (D, anti-codon, and T loops). Further hydrogen bonds mediate the characteristic L-shaped molecular structure. tRNAs have two regions of fundamental functional importance: the anti-codon, which is responsible for specific mRNA codon recognition, and the 3' end, to which the tRNAs corresponding amino acid is attached (by aminoacyl-tRNA synthetases). tRNAs cope with the degeneracy of the genetic code in two manners: having more than one tRNA (with a specific anti-codon) for a particular amino acid; and 'wobble' base-pairing, i.e. permitting non-standard base-pairing at the 3rd anti-codon position. The record is from RNAcentral. Lineage: Bacteria; Candidatus Roizmaniibacteriota.